RNAcentral lists this long non-coding RNA (263 nucleotides) under Homo sapiens (human). Its description in RNAcentral is "HSALNT0143929". The record is from RNAcentral. Lineage: Eukaryota; Metazoa; Chordata; Mammalia; Primates; Hominidae.
UUCAAAACCAAGAUCAAGGCAUGGAAAGUGAGACUAACUACAUCAGGCCAGAAAUGAAAAGCAACUUAGGAGUCAAUUUUUAAAUACGUAUGCCAACGGAACCUUGAGGAGUUUUGAGGAGUCUUUCCUGCCGGGAUGACACUAGUACCGGGUGGAAGAGCCAAGAUCCAUAGCUAGGCUGAGGGAGCAGCUGUUCUUUGUCAUGUCUACACAAGGGCACAGCUUGGCCAUUACCAGCGCACAACUUCUGUGUGACAGCACAU